GCCCAGAUAGCUCAGUUGGUAGAGCAGGGGAUUGAAAAUCCCCGUGUCGGCGGUUCGAUUCCGUCUCUGGGCA
Molecule: transfer RNA, 73 nt
Filed under: Halopseudomonas salegens
Lineage: Bacteria; Pseudomonadati; Pseudomonadota; Gammaproteobacteria; Pseudomonadales; Pseudomonadaceae
Also listed under: 9 other names
Rfam family: tRNA
About the family: Transfer RNA (tRNA) molecules are approximately 80 nucleotides in length. Their secondary structure includes four short double-helical elements and three loops (D, anti-codon, and T loops). Further hydrogen bonds mediate the characteristic L-shaped molecular structure. tRNAs have two regions of fundamental functional importance: the anti-codon, which is responsible for specific mRNA codon recognition, and the 3' end, to which the tRNAs corresponding amino acid is attached (by aminoacyl-tRNA synthetases). tRNAs cope with the degeneracy of the genetic code in two manners: having more than one tRNA (with a specific anti-codon) for a particular amino acid; and 'wobble' base-pairing, i.e. permitting non-standard base-pairing at the 3rd anti-codon position.
Source: Rfam by way of RNAcentral